Molecule: ribosomal RNA, 2149 nt
Filed under: human gut metagenome
Description: bacterial LSU rRNA
Rfam family: Bacterial large subunit ribosomal RNA
Source: RNAcentral
UGCCGCCCUGAAGGGCGUAUGGUGGAUGCCUUGGCAGACAGUACCGAUGAAGGACGUUUGAGGAUGCGAUAAGCCUCGGGGAGCCUCCAACAUGGCUUCGAUCCGAGGAUUUCCGAAUGGGGCAACCCGCCGGCCGUCAUGGGCCGGCACGGAACCUUGUUGUUCCGGGGGUACGCAGGGAAGUGAAACAUCUCAGUACCUGCAGGAAGGGAUACUCCGUGAGUAGUGGCGAGCGAAAGCGGAUCAGACCAAACCAUGGGCGCGUGAUACCCGUCGGGGGUUGCGUUCGUGGUGUUGAGGGAGCGUGUGUCCCGGUUCCGACGGACCGGGCGGGAGUCAUAAAACGGCUUGCCAGGGGAACAGGCUUGAAGGCCUGGCCGCAGAGGGUGCCAGCCCCGUACCUGGAAGCUUGCCGUCUUCCGAUCAUGUGUCCCAAGUAGCGCGGGCCUCGUGGAAUCCCGUGUGAAUCGGCCCCGACCGUGGGGUAAGUCUAAGCAUACCUGUCUGACCGAUAGCGUACCAGUACCGUGAGGGAAAGGUGAAAAGCACCCCGGGAGGGGAGUGAAAGAGUUCCUGAAACCGUGCGCCUACAAUCCGUCGGAGCCUCCUUGUGGGGUGACGGCGUGCCUAUCGAAAAAUGAGUCUGCGAGUCAGUGGUGCGUGGCGAGGCUAACCCGUGGUGGGGGAGCCGUAGCGAAGGCGAGUCUCAAAAGGCGUUUUGAGUCGCGCGCCCUGGACCCGAAGCGGGAUGAUCUAGCCCUGGGCAGGUUGAAGCGCGGGUAAGACCGCGUGGAGGACCGAACCCACCUGGGUUGAAAACCGGGGGGAUGACUUGGGGCUAGGGGUGAAAGGCCAAUCAAAUUCCGUGAUAGCUGGUUCUCUCCGAAAUGCAUUUAGGUGCAGCGUCGGUUGAUUGCAUCGCGGGGGUAGAGCUACUGGAUGCUUGCGGGCCCGUGUCGGGUACCAAUAGCAGCCAAACUCCGAAUACCGUGGAUGUGUAUUCCGGCAGUGAGUCGGCGGGGGAUAAGCUCCGUCGUCGAGAGGGAGACAGCCCAGAUCGUCGUCUAAGGUCCCGAAGCGUGUGCUAAGUGGGAAAGGAUGUGGAGUCGCAUAGACAGCCAGGAGGUUGGCUCAGAAGCAGCCACCCUUGAAAGAGUGCGUAACAGCUCACUGGUCUAGUGGUUCCGCGCCGACAAUGUAGCGGGGCUCAAGCACACCACCGAAGACGCGGCAGCGGCCUUUGCGGCCGUUGGGUAGGAGAGCGUCCCGCGUGGGGCGAAGCGGCCGGGGAACCGUGCCGUGGACCGCGCGGGAGUGAGAAUGCAGACAUGAGUAGCGAGAGACGGGUGAGGAUCCCGUCCGCUGGAUGACCAAGGGUUCCGGGGCCACGUUCGUCGUCCCCGGGUGAGUCGGGUCCUAAGGCGAGGCCGACAGGCGUAGUCGAAUGGAUGAACGGGUGGAUAUUCCCGUACCGGCGGCGUACCGUAAGAGCCGAACGGAUGAGUACUAACCUCCGGUCGCGUGGCGUCGUUCCCUUCGGGGUUCGGGGUCCGCGGUCGUUGGGAGCGUAGUCCUGGUAGGCUAGCGCACAGGGGUGACACGGAAUGGGAGCCGGCCGCGGAGGUGGUUUUCCGUGGUCAAGCACGCAGCCCGUCCCAUAGGCAAAUCCGUGGGGCAUCGAGGGUGAGGUGUGAUGAUGGGCGUCCUUUGGACGCGAUAUCCGGUGGUCCAGGCCGUCGAGAAAAGCCUCGGCGCGAGGGGCGUCGCCGCCCGUACCCCAAACCGACACUGGUGGUCAGGUAGAGAAUACCAAGGCGAUCGAGCGAAUCCUGGUCAAGGAACUCGGCAAAUCACUCCCGUGCCUUCGGUAUAAGGGAGACCCCCGGGCGUGAAGAGGCUUGCCCUCGGAGCGUUGGGGGGUGGCACAGACCAGGGGGUAGCGACUGUUUACCAAAAACACAGGUGCAUGCGAAGGCGCAAGCCGCUGUAUAUGCACUGACGCCUGCCCGGUGCCGGAAGGUUAAGAGGAUCCGUCAGCCUUCGGGUGAAGCGGUGAAUUCAAGCCCCGGUAAACGGCGGUGGUAACUAUAACCAUCCUAAGGUAGCGAAAUUCCUUGUCGGGUAAGUUCCGACCUGCACGAAUGGCGUA